This 110-nucleotide ribosomal RNA is filed under the name Periophthalmus magnuspinnatus. The record is from RNAcentral. Lineage: Eukaryota; Metazoa; Chordata; Actinopteri; Gobiiformes; Gobiidae.
AUAUACUGCUCAACUUGUCGAUUCCUGGUCUCGUCAGAUCUCUGAAGCUAAGCGAGCCUGGGCCUGAUUAGGACUUGGAUGGGAGAGCGUUGGAAAGACCACAGUAUUUC